Molecule: long non-coding RNA, 172 nt
Organism: Setaria italica (foxtail millet)
Lineage: Eukaryota; Viridiplantae; Streptophyta; Magnoliopsida; Poales; Poaceae
Exons: 3
Source: RefSeq, a predicted model, not a curated record
UUACACUUCUGAAUGGAGAAACAGAAUCAGCCCAGCUGUUCACUGAUGGGUGCAAAGACUUCGCUGGAGGCAAACACCAAACAGAAAGUGCUGCCUUUUCAUACAGUGAAUAUUUGCAUUGUGUUGGGGAUUUUCCAAUGGCAACACAAGUGUAUGAGAGUGUUCUUGAGGC